This 1597-nucleotide unclassified non-coding RNA is filed under the name Hevea brasiliensis (rubber tree). Lineage: Eukaryota; Viridiplantae; Streptophyta; Magnoliopsida; Malpighiales; Euphorbiaceae. The record is from RNAcentral.
AACUAAUUUAAGGAUAGAUUAGUAAACGAUUUUUCAAAGUAAUAUUCUUAAUAUAAGAUUACAUUCAUUAUUCAAAUUAAUAAGCACUUAACAUACAUAAACAAGAUAAUAAAACAUUCAUAUUUCAGCAUUAUUAAACUAAUUAAUAGAGAGUAUUCUUGACAAUCGGGCGAGCUUUGCACAUGGCUUGUAGUGGCUCAAGCUUCGGCAUGGUGAGACCUCUGCCUUCCAUCAUAUCAAUUUCCUCAUGAGUGACCCUGUUCCAUUCAAAGCAUUGAAUCAACGUUCCCAAAGCCAAAAUCACAACACGUUGGGCUAGGCCUGCUCCUGGACAAGCCCUUCUCCCCAAUCCAAAUGGUGUAAACUUGGAGCCCUCCCCUCCUCCGUUAUCAAAUCUCUCAGGCUUAAAACUCAUUGGAUCAUCCCAAAGAGCAGGAUCUCUGUGCAAAGCCCAUGCAUUUACUAAUACGAUUGUGCCACGUGGCACAUUGUAUCCUCCAAUAGUGCAAUCAUCAGAUGCUUCAUGAGGGACAAGGAGUGGGGUGGCCGGGUAUAAUCGGAGGGUUUCGUGGAAGAUGUUUUGAAGGUAUGGUAGUUUGGAGAGAUGAGGUUCAUCUAGUAAGCAUUGUGGGCCAACUUGAGUGUCUAUUUCAUAUAUAGCUUUCUUCAAUACGUGUGGAUUAUUGAGUAGAUUGGACAUUGCCCAUUCUAACGUCACCGCUGAUGUAUCGGUCCCCGCAAAUAUCAAGCCCAACACAAGCCCUUUGAUAGUCUCGUCAGUGUGAUAAUCAGGUUCUGAUUCUUGCGAAGAAAGAAGAUGAUCAAUCAUGGUGUUCAUGCUCUCUAAAUUAUUCUUCUUACUUCUGUGUUCAUCAAUCAACCGUUGUGCAAAUUCAUCAGUUCUUUUCCCAAAGCUUUUCAAUUUCUUCUCAAACCUACCACCAUCAAUCCAAUUCAAAAUCGGCAAGAAAUCUCCUGGAUUCGACGCCCCUAUAUACGAAACUACCUCAACCAUUAACUCCCUAAACCGUCUCGCCUCUUCCUCGUCACUCACAUCUUCUCCGUAAUACCUCUUCCCUGCGAUCAUUCUCACUGUUAUGUUAAACGUUAGCUCUUUGAACAAUGAUUUCAACUCUACCUUGGCAAAAUCUUGAAGCGACCUUUGUGAUAACUUUGUGAUUAAUCGCUUGAUUUCGUCUUUUCGGAUGGUUAGAGACUUGUUUAGGCGAGCAGUAGAGAAGAUCUCAAUGGCCACAAUGCGGCGGAGGUUGCGCCAGUGAUCGCCGUAGGAGGAUUGAGCGAUGGUGGUGUUGUUAUAAGCUAUGUGCUUGCCUGCUAGAAAUUUUGGACGGUUGGCUAAGAUGACGUCGUUCUUGGUGAAGCAUUCUUCCACUGCAGAUGAUGAUGAGACUACAACAACAAGGCGGCAUCCGAAGCGGAGGGAGAAGAUGGGGCCGUAUUUUUUAGCGAGAGUUUGGAGAGUGCGGUGCAUAGGUGGCUUUAGGAGAUGGAGAUGGCCGAUAACUGGAAGUGCAGGUGGGCUUGGAGGGAGGUUUCUGUGGCAUAUUCUUGAUCGGAAAAUUUUAAAAACAAGGAA